Molecule: long non-coding RNA, 3655 nt
Filed under: Sus scrofa (pig)
Lineage: Eukaryota; Metazoa; Chordata; Mammalia; Artiodactyla; Suidae
Description: lncRNA (ENSSSCG00030001928.1)
Source: RNAcentral
CAAUUCCAUUUAUUUUGUACCCCUCUCCCCCAGCAGAUAUAUUUUCCCCUGCUUAUUUCCUCUGUUUAUCUUAAAAAAAAAAAAAAAAAAAAAAAAAAAAAAAAGAUUAAAAGUUGGGAUGAUGAGGGAAUUCCCGUUGUGGCUCAGUGGUUAACGACCCCAGCUAGGAUCCAUGAGGAUGUGGGUUUGAUCCCUGACCUUGUUCAGUGGAUUAAGGAUCCAGUGUUGCCAUGAGCUGUGAUGUAGGUUGCAGACGCGGCUCGGAUCCUGCAUUGCUGUGGCUCUGGCGUAGGCCAGUGGCUACAGCUCCGAUUCGACCCCUAGCCUGGGAACCUCCAUAUGCCAUGGAAGCGGCCCAAGAAAUAGCAAAAAGACAAAAUAAUAAUAAUAAUAAUAAGUUAUUACAAGAUAGUGAGUAUAGCUCACUGUGCUUUACAGCAAGUCCUUGUUGUUUGACUAUUUUAUACACAGUAGUGUGUAUAUGUUAAUCCCAAACUCCUAACUAAUCUCCCUCACCCCUGGCAAUGAACCUCUGAAUGGCAGGAAACACAGGUUGGAUCCACACUGUACACAACCUAUGUGAGCGAGUGAAGGACAAGGAAGGAGAUUUGCCGCCCAGAAAACCAGCCUGUGUGACAGCCAAGAGAGAGCCAGUUCUAGACCUGAGGGAUCCUAACUGGUUUUCUCGUUUCCAUGCACUGUUUUUCUGGCACACUUGUGGCUGGUGUUCCCAUAGGACAUUGUGAUGCUCUACAGCCAGGGGGAGGUCUGAGUGCCUUUGUCCCCCACAGGGAAGCCAGGACAGGCUUCAAAGGAAAUCAUCCUUGUUAUGGGUCACAAAGAGUUGAUAAUCAGCAAUGUUGUAAGGUGCAACCUCAUAUAAUUUUGGAACUAUGAAAACAAUAAUAAUUCUAAUAACAUUUGUUAUGGGCUGAAGCAUGUGUUCCCUGCUGCCACCACCAAAUUCAUAUGUUAAAGCCUUCACCCCCAGGGCCUCAGAAUGUGACUGUAUCUGGAGACAGGGCCUUUAAAGAGGUGACUAAAUUAAAUGCCGUCUUCUGGAUGGAUGCUGAUCCAAACUGACUGAUGUCCUUAGAAGAAGAGGAGACUGGGGGACAGCAGGGCGUGUGGGCCCAGCCGUGUAAAAAAGUGCCAAGGCAGCCACCUGGAAGCCAAGGAAAGAAGCCUCAGAGGAAACUGACCCAGACAUACCUUGAUCUUGAACGUCCAGCCUCCAGAACUGUGAGAAAAUGAAUUUCUGUUAUUAAAGACUCCCAGGUUGUGAUGUCUUGUUAUGGCAGCCCAAGGAAACGAAUAUGGUAAUUUUUUUUUAAAGACAGGAUUCUAAAAAGACAGGUAUAGGUCUGAGGAGUUAUUCCUAUGACUGCAUGCCAGCCAGUGGGCUUACCCCAGCACCACUUUCUGUUCUUUUUCUUCUUCUUUUCAUUUUUGGCCGCCCUGAGGCAUAUGGAGUUCCCGGGCCAGGGAUCAGAUCCAAGCCACCAUCACAACCUAAGCCAAAUCUGCAGCAACACCAGAUUCUAAAUCCACUGUGCCGGAGCCAGUGCUCCCAAGACGCCACAGUCCCAUUGCUCCACAGCAGGAACUCUACCACCUUCUGUUUUUUGUGGUCCCUCUCGUCUCCUGGUUCCUCCGCCAUUCAAUACGUGGAGCAUGGGCCUAUCUCAAAUAAAAAGGGGACACCCAGGACUCAUCUUUAAUCAUGAGGAGCAUCACGGAGGUGGCUUGGGGUUGAUAGCUCUGUUGUCGAAGUCACGUUCAAGGAGUUCCUGCUGUGGCAUGGCAGGUUAAGGACCUGGCAUUGUUUCUGCGGCAGCUCAGGUCCCUGUGGAGGCGUGGGUUCAAUGCCUAGCACCACACAGUGGAUUAAGGAUCCAUCUUUGCUUCACUUGGGGCCUAGGUCUCAGCAGCAGCUCAGAUUCAAUCCCUGGCCCUUGAACUUCCAUGUGCCUCUGAUGCAGCUGAAAAAACAGUCAUGUUCAAAUCCAAAGAGCAGGGCCCCUGCCUCCUAUUGCUUUGCCCUCUUCCACUAGCAUGACGUAGGUAGUCAGUAAAGGGUUUACCCGAGCCCAGCAAGACCUGGGCUUCCAUCUUGGUCCCGCUCUUUCCUAUGUGGGUGGCCUUGGGCAAAUUCAGCCUCUAAGCCUCUGUUUCUUGAUCGGCACAGAAGGCAUGGACAUAUCAACCUCCCAAAGCUCUGUGAAAGUUAGAAACCAAAGAUAUCAAGAGUCCAUCACAAUGCACAACACAUGGAAAGGGUCCUGUGAUUUGUGAAAUCCAUUAUUUGUUAUUUUGUGCUUCUCCAAGUUGGUAAAAGAAUACCCCCAUUAGGCCCUCUCUUGUUUUCUCUGAUACACGUUGUCUGUCCUCUGUGAUGGAAGAAGAAGGAAGAGGAGAUAAAGGAGAAAAAAAGAAACUACCAUUCUCUGUAUGCUUAAUAGGCAUGUGGCAUUGUUUUGAAUACUAUACACAGACAUUCAUCUUCAGUUCUCAAUAUAAUCCCCCAUUUUACAGAUGAAAAUACUGAGACCCAGAGAGGUCACACAACAUCCUGAAAGUCACACAGCGAUUGAUAAUAAGAUCAGCAAAUUAAGCAAAUAAGCACUACCUUUAAAAUAAGACUCCCAUUCAAGGGGGACUGGAGAGUGGCUGGGAGACACACACACUCCAAAUUCCUCUCCAAGUGCGACAGCAACACACUUGAGCCUAUCUGGGUGCUGACAGGUGGAGAGAGUGUUCUGUGCAGGGCUCGGAGAGCACGCGGCAGUUCCAGGAAAUUCCCAGUGCACCUACUGAAAGGCACCCAAGAGUCCCCUUUCUUUGAUGAAAACAGUCUCAAGGUCACUGGAUGUGUUCCCAGUCAGAGGGUCCAAAAGGACAGAGGUGGGCCAAAAUCUGUGUCCCUUAUUCUCUACUCUCUGCCCUGCCACACACAGAGAUGCAUGCUGCAUCUUCUCUGCUCUGCCUGGUACCCAGGGUGACCCCUGCAGAUACAUCACCAGCUCCUUGUCCUCUGGCUUCCGGCUGGGCUCAGUUUAUGGGCAGCACCAGCAGCUGAUAGGCGGCAGAGUGGAUUAAGAGGGGUCCUGCCAGGGUAUGUAUUCCCUGCCCUGCCCUGCCCUGAAAGUGACCCACCAUGAAUGAAGCUCAUGCUGGAAAGCCCAGCUCCAUGGUCCCAGCCCUCGAUGGCUCCAUACACCUCCCUCCUGGUACCUGAAGCCCUAAAUGUUGUGAUGGCUCCCACUGUCGCCAGCCCCAGAGAACCUCAGCAUCCCUUGUUGGUUUUACUAACCCUACUCAUCCCCCAUAAAUAGCUCUUAUAUUAAACUCCCCCUGGUUGCAUCAUCUGGGAUGAAUUCUGUUUCCAACAAGGACCUUGUCUGAUCUAAAGUCAGAGGUGGAACUGAACAGAAAAGGUCCUGAUUUCUAAUUGUCUCCCCCAAACCAGAUUCUGGCAAAGGUAAAGCAGAAGUCAAAGGAUCUUACAUCAGAGUUCCCUUGUGAUGUAGUGGGUUAAGAAUCUGGAACUGUCACUGUAGCAACUUGGGUCGCUGCCUUUGUGUGGGUUCAAGUCCUUGGCCUGGAAACAUCCACAUGCCGCGGGCACAGCCCAAAAAAAAAAAAAAAAAAAAAA